Molecule: small RNA, 664 nt
Filed under: Pan troglodytes (chimpanzee)
Lineage: Eukaryota; Metazoa; Chordata; Mammalia; Primates; Hominidae
Description: retained intron
Source: RNAcentral
GGAGGUUUCCAGAAGCGCUGCCGCCACCGCAUCGCGCAGCCCUUAGCCGUCGGAGCGGUUGUUUGCUGCCUCGUACUCUUCCAUUUAUCCGCCAUGAUAAGUGCCAGCCGAGCUGCAGCAGCCCGUCUCGUGGGCGCCGCAGCCUCCCGGGGCCCUACGGCCGCCCGCCACCAGGAUAGCUGGAAUGGCCUUAGUCAUGAGGCUUUUAGAAUUGUUUCAAGGCGGGAUUAUGCAUCAGAAGCAAUCAAGGGAGCAGUUGUUGGUAUUGAUUUGGGUACUACCAACUCCUGCGUGGCAGUUAUGGAAGGUAAACAAGCAAAGGUGCUGGAGAAUGCCGAAGGUGCCAGAACCACCCCUUCAGUUGUGGCCUUUACAGCAGAUGGUGAGCGACUUGUUGGAAUGCCGGCCAAGCGACAGGCUGUCACCAACCCAAACAAUACAUUUUAUGCUACCAAGCGUCUCAUUGGCCGGCGAUAUGAUGAUCCUGAAGUACAGAAAGACAUGUGAGUAACAGCAAAAGUUUUUUGCAAAAAGCAGUUAUUUGCAAGGGCCACACAGAAGAGCCUCAGCAUGUUGAUGAGGAUCCCUGGAGCACCUUACUUUAGUAAUUUUACUUAUUGUCCCUAGGGGAAAUCUGUACCACUGCCAAAAGGGUAAUCCCUUU